GUUCAAACCCUUCCCCUACUA
RNAcentral lists this transfer RNA (21 nucleotides) under Micropsitta finschii. RNAcentral's name for it is "partial tRNA-Met". Lineage: Eukaryota; Metazoa; Chordata; Aves; Psittaciformes; Psittacidae. The record is from RNAcentral.